Molecule: ribosomal RNA, 636 nt
Filed under: Triticum aestivum (bread wheat)
Lineage: Eukaryota; Viridiplantae; Streptophyta; Magnoliopsida; Poales; Poaceae
Description: partial small subunit ribosomal RNA
Source: RNAcentral
AUGUCUUCACCGCCGCCAAGCCCAUCUCUUUCGCUGCCGGUCACCUCGUCGCCUCCGGCGACCACCACGACCGUCGCCCCGCUCCUCCGUCGUGCCCGUCCCCGCCGUCCUCACCCUGGAGGAGGUGUCCGGGGUGUUGCCCAGGUGGUCCAGGAGAUCCACUUGUUCUUGGCCGUGUCCUACGGGCUGCACCCGGCUGGGCUGCCCAUCGCCGCCCCCGCGCCGCUGUGGCUGCAGUGGCAGCCGCCGCACCAAGCGGCCUUCGCCGCGCUCGCCGGGCCGCUGCAGCUGCCAUCCAUCGCCACCACCGCCCAGCCCUGGCUGCGCCCAGCCCUGGCUGCAGUGGCAGCCGCCGCUCCUGGCGGCCUCCGCCGCGCCCGGCGCGACACCGCAGCAGCCGCUACAGCUGCAGCAGCCACCGCCGGUCUGCUCCGCCGCCCAGUAUGGGAUGCCCUACGACGGGACUGCGACGACCUCGUUCCCAUCAGCGUCGCCGCCAUCCCAGGGCGUCCACAUCCAGCAGAUCAAGUCCCCGCCGUCGCCAUCACCGCUUCCGUCUUGGAUCGCUACGCGUCGGCGGCGGUGAGGCUGCAGGCUGCUGCGCGCGGCCUCCUAGCGCGUCGGCGUGUGCGGUAG